GUAAUACAUCGGAACGUACCCAGUAGCGGGGGAUAGCCCGGCGAAAGCCGGAUUAAUACCGCAUACGCCCUACGGGGGAAAGGGGGGGAUCGCAAGACCUCUCACUAUUGGAGCGGCCGAUGGCUGAUUAGCUAGUUGGUGGGGUAAAGGCCUACCAAGGCAACGAUCAGUAGCUGGUCUGAGAGGACGACCAGCCACACUGGGACUGGGACACGGCCCAGACUCCUACGGGAGGCAGCAGUGGGGAAUUUUGGACAAUGGGCGAAAGCCUGAUCCAGCAAUGCCGCGUGUGCGAAGAAGGCCUUCGGGUUGUAAAGCACUUUUGUCAGGGAAGAAAUCGUUCGGGCUAAUACCUCGGGCAGUUGACGGUACCUGAAGAAUAAGCACCGGCUAACUACGUGCCAGCAGCCGCGGUAAUACGUAGGGUGCAAGCGUUAAUCGGAAUUACUGGGCGUAAAGCGUGCGCAGGUGGUUCGUUAAGACAGUUGUGAAAUCCCCGGGCUUAACCUGGGAACUGCAAUUGUGACUGGCGGACUAGAGUUUGGCAGAGGGGGGUGGAAUUCCUGGUGUAGCAGUGAAAUGCGUAGAUAUCAGGAGGAACACCGAUGGCGAAGGCAGCCCCCUGGGCCAUGACUGACACUCAUGCA
This 647-nucleotide ribosomal RNA is filed under the name uncultured bacterium. RNAcentral describes it as "bacterial SSU rRNA". It matches the Rfam family "Bacterial small subunit ribosomal RNA", at positions 110 to 753 of the family's 1533-position model. The record is from RNAcentral.